UACGUAGGGUGCGAGCGUUAAUCGGAAUUACUGGGCGUAAAGCGUGCGUAGACGGUUAUUUAAGUCGGGUGUGAAAGCCCCGGGCUCAACCUGGGAAUUGCAUUCGAGACUGAAUAGCUAGGGUACGGUAGAGGGAAGCGGAAUUUCCGGUGUAGCGGUGAAAUGCGUAGAUAUCGGAAGGAACAUCAGUGGCGAAAGCGACUUCCUGGACCAAUACUGACGCUCAUGUGCGAAAGCGUGGGGAGCAAACAGG
RNAcentral lists this ribosomal RNA (253 nucleotides) under uncultured bacterium. RNAcentral's name for it is "partial 16S ribosomal RNA". It matches the Rfam family "Bacterial small subunit ribosomal RNA", at positions 524 to 776 of the family's 1533-position model. The record is from RNAcentral.